This 88-nucleotide transfer RNA is filed under the name Tepidanaerobacter syntrophicus. It matches the Rfam family "tRNA". From Rfam's summary of the family: Transfer RNA (tRNA) molecules are approximately 80 nucleotides in length. Their secondary structure includes four short double-helical elements and three loops (D, anti-codon, and T loops). Further hydrogen bonds mediate the characteristic L-shaped molecular structure. tRNAs have two regions of fundamental functional importance: the anti-codon, which is responsible for specific mRNA codon recognition, and the 3' end, to which the tRNAs corresponding amino acid is attached (by aminoacyl-tRNA synthetases). tRNAs cope with the degeneracy of the genetic code in two manners: having more than one tRNA (with a specific anti-codon) for a particular amino acid; and 'wobble' base-pairing, i.e. permitting non-standard base-pairing at the 3rd anti-codon position. Lineage: Bacteria; Bacillati; Bacillota; Clostridia; Thermosediminibacterales; Tepidanaerobacteraceae. The record is from Rfam by way of RNAcentral.
GGAGAGAUGGCCGAGAGGUUGAAGGCGCUCGCCUCGAAAGCGAGUGGACGGCAGCCCCGUCCCGUGAGUUCGAAUCUCACUCUCUCCG